UACGUAGGGUGCGAGCGUUAAUCGGAAUUACUGGGCGUAAAGUGUGCGCAGGCGGCCCCGCAAGUCGAGUGUGAAAGCCCCGGGCUUAACUUGGGAAUUGCGCUCGAAACUAUGGUGCUGGAGUGUGGCAGAGGAAGGUGGAAUUCCAGGUGUAGCGGUGAAAUGCGUAGAGAUCUGGAGGAACACCGAUGGCGAAGGCAGCCUUCUGGGCCAACACUGACGCUCAUGCACGAAAGCGUGGGGAGCAAACAGG
Molecule: ribosomal RNA, 253 nt
Filed under: uncultured bacterium
Lineage: Bacteria
Description: partial 16S ribosomal RNA
Rfam family: Bacterial small subunit ribosomal RNA
Source: RNAcentral